RNAcentral lists this ribosomal RNA (671 nucleotides) under Clerodendrum japonicum. RNAcentral describes it as "eukaryotic LSU rRNA". The stretch from base 254 to 409 matches the Rfam family "5.8S ribosomal RNA". The record is from RNAcentral. Lineage: Eukaryota; Viridiplantae; Streptophyta; Magnoliopsida; Lamiales; Lamiaceae.
AAGUUGUAACAAGGUUUCCGUAGGUGACCUGCGGAAGGAUCAUUGUCGAUACCUGAACAGCAAACCGUGAACACGUGUUUAAACAAAUCGGGGCUGCGGUCCCCUCCUCGCCGGCGUGCGCCAUGCGUUGCCGUGCGGGCUAACAAAAUCGGGCGCGGAAUGCGCCAAGGAAUACACAAAAGAGCGUUCCCCUCCCCAUGGCCCGUGCGCGGAGAUCGUGGGGGAGGUUGGGAUGCCUGUCGUAUACAAAAACGACUCUCGGCAACGGAUAUCUCGGCUCUCGCAUCGAUGAAGAACGUAGCGAAAUGCGAUACUUGGUGUGAAUUGCAGAAUCCCGUGAACCAUCGAGUCUUUGAACGCAAGUUGCGCCCGAAGCCAUUAGGCUGAGGGCACGUCUGCCUGGGCGUCACGCAUCGCGUCACCUCCCUCCGCGUACAACGCUGUGGAUGGAGGUGGAUAUUGGCCUCCCGUGCGUCAUUCACGCGCGGCCGGUCCAAAUGUGAUCCCUCGGCGACCAACGUCACGACCAGUGGUGGUUGAAGUGUCAACUCGCGAGCUGUCGUGCCGCAUGAUGUCGUUCGAUCGGAAGUCACUGCAGACCCAGCGGUGCAUGCACGCAUUGCGCCUCCGACUGCGACCCCAGGUCAGGCGGGAUUACCCGCUGAGUUUAA